Molecule: non-coding RNA, 3450 nt
Organism: Microcebus murinus (gray mouse lemur)
Lineage: Eukaryota; Metazoa; Chordata; Mammalia; Primates; Cheirogaleidae
Source: RefSeq, a predicted model, not a curated record
CUCGGAGGAGAGAAAGAUCCGACGAGGUCAACGGGGACCAAGCAAGGCUGCGCAGGGAGCUGCUUUGGGACCUUCCCCGGGUUCGGGACAGAGCCUGGGCCACACCAGGGGCCGACAGAAAGCUUGGGGCCCAGCGUGACCAGACCCUUUCAGCCUGGACUCUUGAAUUCACAGCACGCUAACCGGAAGAGACUUUCCAUCGAGAACGCUGCGCUCCAGCAAACCGAGAAAACGUGGAGGGAGGAAACCACCUUGCCCGUUUUUUACAAAGCCUCAAAAUUUGGUGUUGCCUGCUGAGCCUGAUGACGAGAUUUCUACAAUAGAUGUUGUUGAGUAGAAAAAGCAUCAAGGCCAAGAAAUUUAAGCUAUGGAUGAGCUCCUUGAAAUGCCUAAAUCAGGUGGGAGAAAUGAUGGAUAAUUAUAGGAUACAAUUGUUGAGUUAUUGUCCAUCCACCUAAAAACAGAAGGUUUUAAUCGGUGCCAAAAUGGGACGUGAUUAAGCAGUCAGAAUGGAAUCCUUUAAAACAGGACGGUUCCGCACUGCACGAAAGGAGGGAGGUGGGCACUCCCCCUGACGAGGCUCUGGGCUGCACAGCACGCAUACGGUGAAGGCAUCGCCCCUACUUCGUGGCAUCCGACCAUCGUUUUUAAUUUGGAGAUAUCUCCAAGAGCCGAAAGUGGAACUACCGUUUGAUCCAGCAAUCCCACCACUAGGCAUCUCCCCAAAGGAAAAAAAAAAAGGCGCUCUAGAAAAAAGACAUCUGCACUCAAAUGUUUAAUGGCAGCACCGUUCACAAUGGCAAAGAGGUGGACACAACCCACGUGCCCAUCAAUACACGAGCGGAUUAAUAAAAGGCGGUGUACGUAGACCAUGCAGUUCUACCUAGCCACAAAACACAACGGUGAUCCAGCACCUCUUAGAUGAUCCUGGACAGAGCCCGAGCCCGUUCUUCGAGGUGAGGCAUCACAAAGAUGGAAAAACACGCACCACAUGUACUCGCCAUCAAAUUGGUACUAACUCGUCAACAGCAAUAAGGUGCUCACAAGUCCUCUUCUCGGUAAUUGGCUUUCUGCCAGGCGAGCAACAGAGAACCCCCGCCGUGGGUUUGUUAACAGUACCGAGAGCAUCCCUGUGGCCCUCUCAUCCUGGCCUUUACACAGAUGCUUAGGGUUAGAUGGGUUUUCUUCUCCCAAGCAAUUUCCGUGGGCGUGAUCUCAAUGCCCGGUACCAAAUGUCCUGCGUCAGAGUAGAAGAUGCACCUUGGAAACAUCGCUUUGUGAACCAGGGGCCUGUGCACGGGAAAGUGCGGAGUCAGGGCCCGCUCUCUUGGUCUUCGGGGCACGCUGAGCCUGCUGCCCUUUCCCAGGUCUUUGGAUGGUGCCUUUGAAGCUUGAUGGAAAAGCAGCAUUUGGAAGACAAGUGUUUACAGGGAAGAGAUUUUUCUCUUUUUGUGUCUAGUUCAUGGUGUCUUUGGCAGAUGUGUGGUCACUGCAGCAUCCUACAGAGCAUGUCCUAAUGUUCAAAGGCAGGGCAGUAGCUUCUAGUAACAGCGUGGGAUUUGUACAUUGCUUUGUUGACUUGUCAUUACACAACAGCGCCUUUCAGAAGGUCAUGUGCAAAUCUAGCACAUUCAGUUGUCCUGUAUAAGAGAAUGCAAUUGCACCCAAAAUAUUUACAAAUUGUUUCUUCUGAAUGCUGGGCUCUUCUAUAGUAUCUCCAGAUCAUGUCAACCCUUCGUUACCAAAAUUUGGGGGCUAAAAAAUAUUCACUUGUUUCUGAAAUCUUGAUUCUCAUCUUCAAAAGUGUACAACAGCCUACUGAGACGGGAAGGGGUGUUACUUAAGCCGGCAUGAUCAGUGGGCCACGAGAUUCCAGCUCAUGGAACACUCUGCCAGACUCAGCGGGAUGAGAUCACAUAGCUUUGCAUUGUCCCAACCCUGGAUCCCGGCUCACCUGUUUGGAAGAGAAUGUCCCAGCAUGAAAGGGGAAGCCAAACCUUGCUUCCUAAGUACAGUAACCGAAGCUGUUUAACCCACGGGAAAAAAAACUCAGUGUGGGGAAUAGGAGAUGAAGCUGGGUGGAUUUGUGAUCAUGAUUUUAAAAAGGACCUAUGAGUAAGUCAGGCCUGGGCAGAGAUGACCUGGGAGCUCCCAGGUAGACCUCCAACUAAAAAGGACCCAGGGGGUGGGGGUGGGGGGGCAUUGAACAUGAGCAAACUGAACUACAUUCCUUUAAUGCUCUGUCCAGCCCUAAAAUUCAAUGAAUUAGCUCUGUCCUCCUUUCUCUGUCUUCUAAAGUGAACUACUGUAUCUUCUGCAAAGCCAAGUUGAGAAUUCUGGAUUAAGCUUUACUCUUCCCCUCCCCAAGCAACUGGCAGUCGAAUGGUGGCCUGCGCAGAGACGGGCAGGCAGGCUUCCGAGAGCGGCCGCUUAGCUCUGCGGCGCCAGGAGGCCUCAGCUGCCCCCCGCCCUGCUCCCCUCGGCGGGAGCUCACGUUAGUGUCUGUGGGUGGAAGAGACUUGUGCCCCACAAGGAGAGACGAGACAGGAGAACUCUGUCUAAAGGACGUGUUUUUUCCCUACUAGAACACUAAGGCUAUAGGCCCAGUAAAAUAAAUAAAUAUAAAAAUGAAAAUAAAAGUCCCACGGGUCUUUCUAGAGACCGGGGUGUCCUGGAUAGGGUCUGGCUCUGAGGAACUGGGGACCUGGGUUCUGAUUAGUUCUCUGGAACUUACCACGAGAUCCUGCACGAGUCGCCUGGGGACCUCAGUCCCCGAGUUAGAAAUUGACAACGGUGGGGACCAGAGGACCAUCAUGACACCUUCCCACUCUGACCUUUAAGCGCGGCCUGCUCCGUCAGUGCUCAACACAACGGCAGCAACCUCGGGAAACCUGGAGACAGGUGGAGCAGCUAGAGAGUCAGGAUGACAGGAUCACUCUGACGGACACACCCCACUGCUCCAGUAGCAGCAUUUGACAUCUGAUGACAGGUCAGAAGCCACCACUGCCCUGGCCCCACCAUUUCUCCUCACGGUGUAGAUUAACCCACAUAGGAUCAUUCCCAUUUCUUUAUGCUUGCCCUGUUCCCUUCUACCACAGGGCCUUUGUACAUGCUGCAGCCGCAACCUGGAGUCCUCUUCCCUCUUUACCUGGUUAACUGCCACUCAUUCUUCAACCUUACUUUAAGCAUCUCCAAACUCCCCAGCCACAUCAGUUCUCCCUGUUAGAUAUUCUCACUGUUCCUCAUAUCUGUUAUUCAGAAUAUUUACAUAGUAGAGUUAAAAUGUUCCAUUUGUGUGUGCAAUUACUGUAAAAUCACUUCCUAGUAGCCAGAUACUGCAGGAGGGAAAAGACCACUUCUAUGUAAGUAUCUAGCACAGUGUCUGACACUUAGUAGACACUUAACAAAUUUUUUUAAUAAAUGCUUAAAUAUCUUUUCAUGGGUCAUAAU